Molecule: long non-coding RNA, 667 nt
Filed under: Cyanistes caeruleus (blue tit)
Lineage: Eukaryota; Metazoa; Chordata; Aves; Passeriformes; Paridae
Description: lncRNA (ENSCCEG00000021700.1)
Source: RNAcentral
CUUGGAAUACUUUCUAACAGUGUAGAAAAUCUCCUAUAUCAAAUGAAAACAUACCACCACUUUCUAAUCUUACAUGCAAAGAUAAUUUUGUCCUUGCCUUCAAUAAUGUAGAAACAUGAAACAGAACACAGAUACUUUAGGCUAACAGUAACAAAAGUCAUCAUCCCAGAAACAGUCCACUGACCACACUUUUUCAUUUCUCCUAGAGAAGAGACAAGGAAGAAAUUCUAUGAGACAGAUGUUAGUCAUGGAGAAAAAUACACCACUGGAAAAUUUUCAGAUUUGUAAAGUGAUGUAAAAAACCUAUAUAGAACAGGUUCUCAGUCUUCUGGGAAAAGCAACAGGAAAAAACAUGUCACACACUACUUAAAGAAAUACUGCUGGCCUUAGAAUUGAGAGAUGGAAAUACCAUUGAUGUCAAAAUGGAGUAGUUCUGUGAGUGAACAGAAAUAUUUUCAGAUACCAAAAUAAAACCUAUUGAGCAAAAAGCUUUCCCGAAGUGAAAGAAGCAAAGAAAUAGCUGAAGGUAUUAGCAGUGAAGAAAGAAGUAGAGCAAACAAAGGAGACAGAAAUCAUUUUCUUCAGCAGCCUGCAGAUAAGGAAAAUACGUCCUUCUUCUGCUGGAAUCUUCCUAGAUCAUUAUAAUAAACUAAUUAAUCUAAGAUGG